RNAcentral lists this ribosomal RNA (877 nucleotides) under Escherichia coli. RNAcentral describes it as "partial 23S ribosomal RNA". It matches the Rfam family "Bacterial large subunit ribosomal RNA", at positions 312 to 1191 of the family's 2925-position model. Lineage: Bacteria; Pseudomonadati; Pseudomonadota; Gammaproteobacteria; Enterobacterales; Enterobacteriaceae. The record is from RNAcentral.
CUGAAUCAGUGUGUGUGUUAGUGGAAGCGUCUGGAAAGGCGCGCGAUACAGGGUGACAGCCCCGUACACAAAAAUGCACAUGCUGUGAGCUCGAUGAGUAGGGCGGGACACGUGGUAUCCUGUCUGAAUAUGGGGGGACCAUCCUCCAAGGCUAAAUACUCCUGACUGACCGAUAGUGAACCAGUACCGUGAGGGAAAGGCGAAAAGAACCCCGGCGAGGGGAGUGAAAAAGAACCUGAAACCGUGUACGUACAAGCAGUGGGAGCACAGAGCAAUCUGUGUGACUGCGUACCUUUUGUAUAAUGGGUCAGCGACUUAUAUUCUGUAGCAAGGUUAACCGAAUAGGGGAGCCGAAGGGAAACCGAGUCUUAACUGGGCGUUAAGUUGCAGGGUAUAGACCCGAAACCCGGUGAUCUAGCCAUGGGCAGGUUGAAGGUUGGGUAACACUAACUGGAGGACCGAACCGACUAAUGUUGAAAAAUUAGCGGAUGACUUGUGGCUGGGGGUGAAAGGCCAAUCAAACCGGGAGAUAGCUGGUUCUCCCCGAAAGCUAUUUAGGUAGCGCCUCGUGAAUUCAUCUCCGGGGGUAGAGCACUGUUUCGGCAAGGGGGUCAUCCCGACUUACCAACCCGAUGCAAACUGCGAAUACCGGAGAAUGUUAUCACGGGAGACACACGGCGGGUGCUAACGUCCGUCGUGAAGAGGGAAACAACCCAGACCGCCAGCUAAGGUCCCAAAGUCAUGGUUAAGUGGGAAACGAUGUGGGAAGGCCCAGACAGCCAGGAUGUUGGCUUAGAAGCAGCCAUCAUUUAAAGAAAGCGUAAUAGCUCACUGGUCGAGUCGGCCUGCGCGGAAGAUGUAACGGGGCUAAACCAUG